CACCGCUGCAAGAGGGGAAGUUGCUACUGUGAUGAAUUCUGCCAUGUGGCACCAGACUGCCACCCAGACCACAGUGUCCUCUGCAACCCUGGUCAAAGGUGCCUACAUGCUCCUUCUAGCUUUGUUUCCCUGAUGUUCCUUGCCACCUGCUACUCCUCUCUGAGCUACUUUUCCAGCCUCCCAGGAAUGCCAUUCACCAUGGCUGUGAGGAGAAUAAAGAAGAGAGCCUGACUCCUCUCCUGAGGCCCCUUCCCCACCCUGAGCCAGCAGGAUCCACGGAGCAGAGGUCAUCUGUCCCCAGCUUGGCCCACUGAGGCCAGCAUGGCUGGGCCCAGGAUGCUUGUCUCUCAGCUCCCAUCCUGUGUACUUCCACAUUGGUUUAACCAGAGGAAAACCGAAAUCUACAAUUGUCAUAAACACAUUUAAAUGUGCGUAGAAUCAGCCAUACAAAUUGUGAAACAUA
Molecule: unclassified non-coding RNA, 463 nt
Filed under: Homo sapiens (human)
Lineage: Eukaryota; Metazoa; Chordata; Mammalia; Primates; Hominidae
Description: MUC20 overlapping transcript (ENSG00000281603.2)
Source: RNAcentral